CAUGGAAUUUUUAGGUAAUGACUAAAAGUUAGUUGUUGCAAAUGAGCCUUGUUUAUAGGCAGAAGGCCACAUGCCAUCUGGCAGUAAAGGGUAGCUGUCUCACCUCGGACACAGACAUUGAUUGAAAGACAGGCUGCAGUUUCAAAGGACUGCACUGACUCAACUUCCACAUUGUGGGAUGGAAUAGGCGGCUGUCUCAUUUACAUACCAGAACUGAUGUCAUUAUUCUGAGGGCUCAUGGUUAUGCCUGACAAUGCCCAAUGUAGAUGGUGUGGUGCAUCUGGGCAGGGCGUGGCAGGGGUGAUGUGUCAUCCCAGAGGUGUCAGAAACUCAUCCUGAGCAGUAGGGAUAGUACAAGCACAGGGUGGAUCUGCAUGGUCCUGUCACUAACCCCCGAGGCCAGAGAGGCAGUCCAGACUUGGAGAUUUCAGUUCUUCGAGAAAUGGAAAUGUACAUAAUGAAUUAGAUUGAACAAAAAAAUAUAUAGCUGCUAUUCGAGUCAUUGUCCAUUACUCUGAGGUAGUUGUUUUCUUCUUUGGUGAGUCUGGACUUCAGGCAGCAUGUCAAACAAAUCCCUCACGCCUUCUCGAGAUCCAUAAGGAGAAGGCUUUCCUGCAACAGAAACUCUCGUCUUCACUAUACAGGUCCUGCAGACUUCUUCCUGAUGUCCAUGAGGAAGAAGCAAGACAUGUUAGAAGGCUAUUGUGAUAGCCAUGUAAGAGAUGCGUGUGGCUUGGACCAGUUGGCCAUGGAUGUGAGUGAGGGUGGAAUCUGGUUGCCUGUUGAAGGCAGAGCCCAAGGAUUGUCUGAGGAAGCCCAUGUAGGGUAUGAAAGGCAAGAGUCAAGAACCACCCCAAGGCUUUUGGCUAAGGUUACUGAGUUUCUGCUCUGCUCCAGACUCUAUGUUCAGCACUUUUUACUUAUCUCACUCAUUGAAUCAUGAAGCGAUAGUGGGUUAGGUAUAAAG
Long non-coding RNA from Sapajus apella (tufted capuchin), 967 nucleotides. RefSeq lists it as uncharacterized. NCBI's taxonomy places the organism in Eukaryota, Metazoa, Chordata, Mammalia, Primates, Cebidae. The transcript is spliced from 3 exons. The record is from RefSeq and is a predicted model, not a curated record.